Non-coding RNA from Dermacentor albipictus, 1864 nucleotides. NCBI's taxonomy places the organism in Eukaryota, Metazoa, Arthropoda, Arachnida, Ixodida, Ixodidae. The record is from RefSeq and is a predicted model, not a curated record.
GGUACACAUGGCGCAGACUAGUGCAGGCUCUCAACAAAAGGGAAUCUCGGAGGGUUCCGGCACUUGUUGUGCAUAAAAACAAGGCCUUUGAGAUUGGCUAAUGCUGGCAACGUUGUGCAUGCAACAAAGUCAAGUCAUGGUCAAGUCACGUCCAAGCAGAAGGCCAGUCAGCCGUCAGCGUUUCGCGCGUUUUCUGUAUUUACCGCAGCAGAGUUUGCAGCGACCUCCGUUGUGGUAUUUUGUUCCUCGGAGGCAUGCUCUCGGAAUCGGAAAAAGGAGGUGAUCAAUAUGCAGUCGUCAAGUUUCCAGAGGAAGGAAACUCUGUGGCUCUUGUACAUACCAAGUGGCUGCAUGGCGAUGUCUGCUUGUGGCCACAGGAUUCCAAGAAUGUUUCGUAUUUAGCCAAAUGUGGAGCCUCUCCAUCCUCCAACUGGCAAGUCGUGCCAUGUGUGCCCAUAGACACAUUCAGAACAUAUGAUGCAGCGCGACAAAAGCUCAAGCAAGCUGAAGAUGGGUCAGACUUGGGGAGUGAAGUGGACCUAGGACGGGGCAAAAGAAAAAAGCAACGAAGAGCCCUUAGCUCAAGUCCGGAAAGUGUGCAGCGACUACCACUUCCACCGCCCUCUAUGAUGAAAAAAGCACAGAAGAGGGAUGGGAGACGUAUUCACAAGCAGUCAUCACAUGCAUCAACAUCUAGGGCUAAUGAUCCCAAUGUUUGCAGUGAUCAAGGCGCAGUGCAAUGUGCACAAAUGUGUGCUAGCGAGACUUCAGAAUCUGAGGGUGAGGCGGAGUCUGGAGGUGAACAAGAUGCAAUGCAAGAAUCAUCAGGCAUUAAAAGAUCGUUCACAGCUCACUCUUUGAUGAAAAAGCAAGCCAAAUGGGAAAUACACAGUGCAACAAUGAGAAGUGGCAUUCAAGUCAGUCUGUUGCACCUAUUUCAGAUGAUGGCAUUAAGCAGGUCAUCAGGCUUCUACAAACGGUAAUCUUGAGAGUCGAGCACCUGGGAAGCCAACUAGACGUAAUAAAAGCAAAGCUUUGUGACCAACAACUGCAUCCUGAAGCAGAUUUGUUAGAAAAACCAUUUUGUGACAUCACGGAGUUCGAACUGUUUGAUCAAGGCCUCUCAGAAAGUGAUGCAAUGAAGUCAAAGUUGGUUUCUAUGUAUGAAAUAAGCAAGUAUCCUUGCUUGUAUAUGUAGAAGGUUUUAUGUGCGCUGCAGUUCUUAAUUCCAGGUAGAAAAACGUUUUUUUUUUCUUCAUGUACCCAAAGGCCCUUUUACAGGCAUUACAUAGGGGGUUACAUAUUACAUAACAUCACGGGGAAUAAAUAAUGAAAAUAUACAAGCGUGAAAUGUACCUGGCUUUUUGCACUUAAAAAACGAAAUGUAAUGUAUAAUAGCCAUAUCUUAAGGGACUAAUUUUGUGAACAGUGUACUUGUAUAUUCCUCAGAUCCAACGUAACACAGUACCUUUCAAAGUCAGUAUUUAUGUCAACUGGUCUUUUGCAAACCUGAAAAUGGCUGUUUCCUUGAACAGAUGGUGUGAGCAAUUACUCAUAUCAGCAACUCGUGUGCGUGGACAAUGAGCCCAUUUCUACAGUUUUCUAGUGGCAUUACCACUAGAAAGCUUCUACAUGCCACUAUGUAUUUGCAUGACUACAUAUCUAGUGGCAUUUAAAAUGUACUGCACAUUCAUAAUUUUUGUCAUUGAUGGUACAGCAGUACAUAAUGUACAAAGUUUCAAUCUUCUGAAAAGCUGGUUGCUACAAAAGGAUUACACGCUUGACAUAUGCUGCCAUCUGCACUCGGUUUUCCAUUACACCAAAUAUAUUAGCCUAUAAAAGUUACUCAAUCAAUCAAUCAAUC